CACCGCAUGGUGGGGGGUGGAGGGCAAUCGUGGUACCGGGGGACUCGCGGCCUACCAGCUUGUUGGUGGGGUAAGGGCCUACCAAGGCGAUGACGGGUAGCCGGCCUGAGAGGGUGACCGGCCACACUGGGACYGAGACACGGCCCAGACUCCUACGGGAGGCAGCAGUGGGGAAUAUUGCACAAUGGGCGCAAGCCUGAUGCAGCGACGCCGCGUGAGGGAUGACGGCCUUCGGGUUGUAAACCUCUUUCAGUAGGGAAGAAGCGAAAGUGACGGUACCUGCAGAAGAAGCGCCGGCUAACUACGUGCCCAGCAGCCGCGGUAAUACGUAGGGCGCAAGCGUUAUCCGGAAUUAUUGGGCGUAAAGAGCUCGUAGGCGGUUUGUCGCGUCUGCUGUGAAAGACCGGGGCUCAACUCCGGUUCUGCAGUGGGUACGGGCAGACUAGAGUGAUGUAGGGGAGACUGGAAUUCCUGGUGUAGCGGUGAAAUGCGCAGAUAUCAGGAGGAACACCGAUGGCGAAGGCAGGUCUCUGGGCAUUAACUGACGCUGAGGAGCGAAAGCAUGGGGAGCGAACAGGAUUAGAUACCCUGGUAGUCCAUGCCGUAAACGUUGGGCACUAGGUGUGGGGGACAUUCCACGUUUUCCGCGCCGUAGCUAACGCAUUAAGUGCCCCGCCUGGGGAGUACGGCCGCAAGGCUAAAACUCAAAGGAAUUGACGGGGGCCCGCACAAGCGGCGGAGCAUGCGGAUUAAUUCGAUGCAACGCGAAGAACCUUACCAAGGCUUGACAUGGACCGGACCGGGCUGGAAACAGUCCUUCCCUUCGGGGCUGGUUCACAGGUGGUGCAUGGUUGUCGUCAGCUCGUGUCGUGAGAUGUUGGGUUAAGUCCCGCAACGAGCGCAACCCUCGUUCCAUGUUGCCAGCGGGUUAUGCCGGGGACUCAUGGGAGACUGCCGGGGUCAACUCGGAGGAAGGUGGGGACGACGUCAAAUCAUCAUGCCCCUUAUGUCUUGGGCUUCACGCAUGCUACAAUGGCCGGUACAAUGGGUUGCGAUACUGUGAGGUGGAGCUAAUCCCAAAAAGCCGGUCUCAGUUCGGAUUGGGGUCUGCAACUCGACCCCAUGAAGUCGGAGUCGCUAGUAAUCGCAGAUCAGCAACGCUGCGGUGAAUACGUUCCCGGGCCUUGUACACACCGCCCGUCAAGUCACGAAAGUUGGUAACACCCGAAGCCGGUGGCCUAACCCGUUUGGGGGGGAG
RNAcentral lists this ribosomal RNA (1258 nucleotides) under Arthrobacter sp. RNAcentral's name for it is "bacterial SSU rRNA". RNAcentral also lists the same sequence under 1 other name. The record is from RNAcentral. Lineage: Bacteria; Bacillati; Actinomycetota; Actinomycetes; Micrococcales; Micrococcaceae.